UACGACGUAUCAGAGUUUGAUCCUGGCUCAGGAUGAACGCUAGCGGCAGGCUUAACACAUGCAAGUCGAGGGGCAGCAUGAGGGUUAGCAAUAACCCUUGAUGGCGACCGGCGCAAGGGUGCGUAACGCGUGAGCAACUUGCCCGUUUCAGGGGGAUAACCGGUGGAAACGCCGACUAAUACCCCAUAGCAUCAGUUGAAGGCAUCUUCUACUGAUUAAAGAAUUUCGGAAACGGAUAGGCUCGCGUGACAUUAGCUAGAUGGCGGGGUAACGGCCCACCAUGGCGACGAUGUCUAGGGGUUCUGAGAGGAAGGUCCCCCACACUGGAACUGAGACACGGUCCAG
This 345-nucleotide ribosomal RNA is filed under the name uncultured bacterium. RNAcentral's name for it is "bacterial SSU rRNA". It matches the Rfam family "Bacterial small subunit ribosomal RNA", at positions 1 to 334 of the family's 1533-position model. The record is from RNAcentral.